GAUGAACGCUGGCGGCGUGCCUAAUACAUGCCAGUCGAGCGAACGGACGAGAAGCUUGCUUCUCUGAUGUUAGCGGCGGACGGGUGAGUAACACGUGGAUAACCUACCUAUAAGACUGGGAUAACUUCGGGAAACCGGAGCUAAUACCGGAUAAUAUUUUGAACCGCAUGGUUCAAAAGUGAAAGACGGUCUUGCUGUCACUUAUAGAUGGAUCCGCGCUGCAUUAGCUAGUUGGUGAGGUAACGGCUUACCAAGGCAACGAUGCAUAGCCGACCUGAGAGGGUGAUCGGCCACACUGGAACUGAGACACGGUCCAGACUCCUACGGGAGGCAGCAGUAGGGAAUCUUCCGCAAUGGGCGAAAGCCUGACGGAGCAACGCCGCGUGAGUGAUGAAGGUCUUCGGAUCGUAAAACUCUGUUAUUAGGGAAGAACAUAUGUGUAAGUAACUGUGCACAUCUUGACGGUACCUAAUCAGAAAGCCACGGCUAACUACGUG
RNAcentral lists this ribosomal RNA (497 nucleotides) under uncultured bacterium. Its description in RNAcentral is "partial 16S ribosomal RNA". It matches the Rfam family "Bacterial small subunit ribosomal RNA", at positions 28 to 507 of the family's 1533-position model. The record is from RNAcentral.